ACACAUGCAAGUCGAACGAUGAUGCCCAGCUUGCUGGGUGGAUUAGUGGCGAACGGGUGAGUAACACGUGAGUAACCUGCCCCUGACUCUGGGAUAAGCGUUGGAAACGACGUCUAAUACUGGAUAUGAUCACUGGCCGCAUGGUCUGGUGGUGGAAAGAUUUUUUGGUUGGGGAUGGACUCGCGGCCUAUCAGCUUGUUGGUGAGGUAAUGGCUCACCAAGGCGACGACGGGUAGCCGGCCUGAGAGGGUGACCGGCCACACUGGGACUGAGACACGGCCCAGACUCCUACGGGAGGCAGCAGUGGGGAAUAUUGCACAAUGGGCGAAAGCCUGAUGCAGCAACGCCGCGUGAGGGAUGACGGCCUUCGGGUUGUAAACCUCUUUUAGUAGGGAAGAAGCGCAAGUGACGGUACCUGCAGAAAAAGCACCGGCCUAACUACGUGCCAGCAGCCGCGGUAAUACGUAGGGUGCAAGCGUUGUCCGGAAAUUAUUGGGCGUAAAGAGCUCGUAGGCGGUUUGUCGCGUCUGCUGUGAAAUCCCGAGGCUCAACCUCGGGCUUGCAGUGGGUACGGGCAGACUAGAGUGCGGUAGGGGGAGAUUGGAAUUCCUGGUGUAGCGGUGGAAUGCGCAGAUAUCAGGAGGAACACCGAUGGCGAAGGCAGAUCUCUGGGCCGUAACUGACGCUGAGGAGCGAAAGCGUGGGGAGCGAACAGGAUUAGAUACCCUGGUAGUCCACGCCGUAAACGUUGGGCGCUAGAUGUAGGGACCUUUCCACGGUUUCUGUGUCGUAGCUAACGCAUUAAGCGCCCCGCCUGGGGAGUACGGCCGCAAGGCUAAAACUCAAAGGAAUUGACGGGGGCCCGCACAAGCGGCGGAGCAUGCGGAUUAAUUCGAUGCAACGCGAAGAACCUUACCAAGGCUUGACAUACACCGGUAACGGCCAGAGAUGGUCGCCCCCUUGUGGUCGGUGUACAGGUGGUGCAUGGUUGUCGUCAGCUCGUGUCGUGAGAUGUUGGGUUAAGUCCCGCAACGAGCGCAACCCUCGUUCUAUGUUGCCAGCGCGUUAUGGCGGGGACUCAUAGGAGACUGCCGGGGUCAACUCGGAGGAAGGUGGGGAUGACGUCAAAUCAUCAUGCCCCUUAUGUCUUGGGCUUCACGCAUGCUACAAUGGCCGGUACAAAGGGCUGCGAUACCGUAAGGUGGAGCGAAUCCCAAAAAGCCGGUCUCAGUUCGGAUUGAGGUCUGCAACUCGACCUCAUGAAGUCGGAGUCGCUAGUAAUCGCAGAUCAGCAACGCUGCGGUGAAUACGUUCCCGGGCCUUGUACACACCGCCCGUCAAGUCAUGAAAGUCGGUAACACCCGAAGCCGGUGGCCUAACCCUUGUGGAAGGAGCCGUCGAAGGUGGG
RNAcentral lists this ribosomal RNA (1408 nucleotides) under Curtobacterium oceanosedimentum. RNAcentral describes it as "bacterial SSU rRNA". It matches the Rfam family "Bacterial small subunit ribosomal RNA". The record is from RNAcentral. Lineage: Bacteria; Bacillati; Actinomycetota; Actinomycetes; Micrococcales; Microbacteriaceae.